UAGGGAAUAUUGCAUAAUGGGCGAAAGCCUGAUGCAGCAACGCCGCGUGUGCGAUGAAGGCCUUCGGGUCGUAAAGCACUUUUAGAGAGGAUGAGGAAGGACAGUACUCUCUGAAUAAGCCUCGGCUAACUACGUGCCAGCAGCCGCGGUAAAACGUAGGAGGCGAGCGUUAUCCGGAUUUACUGGGCGUAAAGCGCGUGCAGGCGGUAAGGAAAGUUGGAUGUGAAAGCUCCCGGCUUAACUGGGAGAGGUCGUUCAAAACUACCUAACUAGAGUAUGGGAGAGGGAAGGGGAAUUCCGGGUGUAGUGGUGAAAUGCGUAGAUAUCCGGAGGAACACCAGUGGCGAAAGCGGCUUCCUGGCCCAUUUUUGACGCUCAGACGCGAAAGCUAGGGUAGCAAACGG
Molecule: ribosomal RNA, 404 nt
Filed under: uncultured bacterium
Lineage: Bacteria
Description: bacterial SSU rRNA
Rfam family: Bacterial small subunit ribosomal RNA
Source: RNAcentral